Molecule: microRNA precursor, 76 nt
Filed under: Gorilla gorilla gorilla (western lowland gorilla)
Lineage: Eukaryota; Metazoa; Chordata; Mammalia; Primates; Hominidae
Description: miRNA (ENSGGOG00000037936.1)
Source: RNAcentral
GGAGGCUGGGCUGGGACGGACACCCGGCCUCCACUUUCUGUGGCAGGUACCUCCUCCUCCAUGUCGGCCCGCCUUG